GCCUGGAUGGCUCAGUUGGUUAGAGCGCAGGUCUCAUACGGAGAGUGUGACCAUCUUUGAUGGGUAAUCCUGAGGUCGUGAGUUCGAUCCUCACUCCGGGCA
Non-coding RNA from Trametes elegans, 102 nucleotides. The record is from the annotation of a GenBank genome assembly. Lineage: Eukaryota; Fungi; Basidiomycota; Agaricomycetes; Polyporales; Polyporaceae.